This 465-nucleotide ribosomal RNA is filed under the name Vreelandella stevensii. RNAcentral's name for it is "partial 16S ribosomal RNA". It matches the Rfam family "Bacterial small subunit ribosomal RNA", at positions 338 to 795 of the family's 1533-position model. Lineage: Bacteria; Pseudomonadati; Pseudomonadota; Gammaproteobacteria; Oceanospirillales; Halomonadaceae. The record is from RNAcentral.
CCUACGGGAGGCUGCAGUGGGGAAUAUUGGACAAUGGGGGCAACCCUGAUCCAGCCAUGCCGCGUGUGUGAAGAAUGCCCUCGGGUUGUAAAGCACUUUCAGUGAGGAAGAACGCCUGGUGGUUAAUACCCAUCAGGAAAGACAUCACUCACAGAAGAAGCACCGGCUAACUCCGUGCCAGCAGCCGCGGUAAUACAGAGGGUGCGAGCGUUAAUCGGAAUUACUGGGCGUAAAGCGCGCGUAGGUGGCUUGAUAAGCCGGUUGUGAAAGCCCCGGGCUCAACCUGGGAACGGCAUCCGGAACUGUCAAGCUAGAGUGCAGGAGAGGAAGGUAGAAUUCCCGGUGUAGCGGUGAAAUGCGUAGAGAUCGGGAGGAAUACCAGUGGCGAAGGCGGCCUUCUGGACUGACACUGACACUGAGGUGCGAAAGCGUGGGUAGCAAACAGGACUAGAUACCCGGGUAGUC